This 74-nucleotide transfer RNA is filed under the name bacterium. RNAcentral's name for it is "tRNA-Val". It matches the Rfam family "tRNA". Rfam says of the family: Transfer RNA (tRNA) molecules are approximately 80 nucleotides in length. Their secondary structure includes four short double-helical elements and three loops (D, anti-codon, and T loops). The record is from RNAcentral.
GGGCGUUUAGCUCAGCUGGUCAGAGCGCUGCCCUUACAAGGCAGAUGUCGGGAGUUCGAAUCUCUCAACGCCCC